Long non-coding RNA from Neogale vison (American mink), 811 nucleotides. RefSeq lists it as uncharacterized. The record is from RefSeq and is a predicted model, not a curated record. Lineage: Eukaryota; Metazoa; Chordata; Mammalia; Carnivora; Mustelidae. The transcript is spliced from 4 exons.
UACUACCAGCCCCUGCUUCCGUUCUCUUGAAGCUGACUUGUUCGUGCCUUGUGCUUCUCCUGUGCGCCAUUAGAAAGCGGCAGAGAAUUCAUUUAUCGUGUUUUCCAGCAUGGCCCUACCCACACAGACACCCUGUCUCCUUUACUGAUGAGUGGUGGAGUCUGGGUUCUCGGUCUUGAGACCGAGAGAGUCUUCGGAACCACUCUCACUAACUGAAUCCGUUGGAAGCGAAGCUGUGGGAAUUCUGGCAAGCAAGCUGCCGUGAGUCCUACAGCCACAAGAAAAUGAAUUCUGCCAAGAACCCGAGUGAACUUGGAAGUCUUGAUGGCAGCCUUGCCGCGGAUCCUGGGAGAAUGCAAAGCCUGGAAGAUUUUCUUUCUGAUGUUUUAUAUUGAAUAUUCUAUGUACUUAAUAGCUCAGAACCUUGUAAUUACUGUGCCACAUAUUGCCACUAAACUUCAGGAUUGAAUUUUCUCUACUUCUGCAUCUUUGGAGGUAGGCCAUUGGUACAGUUGCACACGAUGGAUUGGUCCACUUAUUGAGGGAAUCCACUCCCAAUCGCUUUCUCUGUCUCCCACCCCUGCUUUUCUAGAUGCAAGAUCGGGGGAAGAUCAGCAGAUUUCAAUAACCAAUAAACAAACAGGAACAGCCGAUAGGGUGAGGCUAAUAAGUUAAUCAUUGAGUUAAUACUAAUGAACAUAAUUCAGUAAAUGGUUGACAUUUUUCUGAUAUUUCAUUGGGAAGUUAAAUUUAAGAUACAACAAAGUUAUUUCUCUGGACCAUCAUUAAAGUGCAAUACAAAUAAAAAUCU